Molecule: unclassified non-coding RNA, 510 nt
Filed under: Hevea brasiliensis (rubber tree)
Lineage: Eukaryota; Viridiplantae; Streptophyta; Magnoliopsida; Malpighiales; Euphorbiaceae
Source: RNAcentral
GUGAUAUCAGUGGUAGUUAAGUAAUGGUGGCGGCAGCGGCGGCAAGGUAAGAUGAUAUGGUGGUAGUAACCAGGUGGUGAUAGAGGUAACGGUUGUAGAGGUGGCAAUGGUUAAGUGGUAGUAAUAUUGGUUAAGUGGUGAUAAUGAUGGUGAUAGCAAUGGUGGUAAUAGAGUAGUGAUGAUAGUAAUGGUGGUGGUGAUGUUAAUAGUAACAGUGACAAGGUAUUGUAGUGUUGGUAGUAAUGGUAAUUAAAUAGUGGUGGUAAUAUUGACUAUGAAUGAAAAAAAUUGUAAUAAGUAAUCAGAAUUAUAUUUUUAUAUAAUGAUUGUUACGUUUUUUUAAAUAUAAUGAAUUAUAUUAUGUAAUUAUAAUUUUAUUAAUUUAUUUUAUUAAAUAACAUAAUUAGAUAUGUCAUUAUUUCAACGUCAUACUAAAUAUGACCCUAAAUUUUAGAUUUUGUCUGAUGAAGUCAACGUCAAUGCGUGUGGAGCCAACUAUGUUGGUGACAA